GACGAACGCUGGCGGCGUGCCUAAUACAUGCAAGUAGAACGCUGAAGGAGGAGCUUGCUUCUCUGGAUGAGUUGCGAACGGGUGAGUAACGCGUAGGUAACCUGCCUGGUAGCGGGGGAUAACUAUUGGAAACGAUAGCUAAUACCGCAUAAUAGUAGAUGUUGCAUGACAUUUGCUUAAAAGGUGCAAUUGCAUCACUACCAGAUGGACCUGCGUUGUAUUAGCUAGUUGGUGAGGUAACGGCUCACCAAGGCGACGAUACAUAGCCGACCUGAGAGGGUGAUCGGCCACACUGGGAUUGAGACACGGCCCAGACUCCUACGGGGGGCAGCAGUAGGGAAUCUUCGGCAAUGGACGGAAGGCUGACCGAGCAACGCCGCGUGAGUGAAGAAGGGUUUCGGAUCGUAAAGCUCUGUUGUAAGAGAAGAACGAGUGUGAGAGUGGAAAGUUCACACUGUGACGGUAUCUUACCAGAAAGGGACGGCUAACUACGUG
This 495-nucleotide ribosomal RNA is filed under the name uncultured bacterium. RNAcentral's name for it is "partial 16S ribosomal RNA". It matches the Rfam family "Bacterial small subunit ribosomal RNA", at positions 28 to 507 of the family's 1533-position model. The record is from RNAcentral.